This 77-nucleotide transfer RNA is filed under the name Sphaerodactylus townsendi. RNAcentral's name for it is "tRNA-Ala". The stretch from base 14 to 69 matches the Rfam family "tRNA", at positions 9 to 63 of the family's 71-position model. Rfam says of the family: Transfer RNA (tRNA) molecules are approximately 80 nucleotides in length. Their secondary structure includes four short double-helical elements and three loops (D, anti-codon, and T loops). The record is from RNAcentral. Lineage: Eukaryota; Metazoa; Chordata; Lepidosauria; Squamata; Sphaerodactylidae.
GGGGAGGCACUACAGCUCAAUGGCAGAGCAUCUGCAUGGCACGCAGAAGGUCUCGGGUUCGAUCCCCAGCAUCCCCA